Molecule: non-coding RNA, 124 nt
Organism: Peromyscus eremicus (cactus mouse)
Lineage: Eukaryota; Metazoa; Chordata; Mammalia; Rodentia; Cricetidae
Product: small Cajal body-specific RNA 4
Exons: 1
Source: RefSeq, a predicted model, not a curated record
ACUGGUGGACCAAAACUGACUCUGAUGAAGCAAGACUUUGUUGAUACACUCCUCCUAGACAAAGAGGUGGAGAGAGCAGCCCUUAUUGGAGAAACCACAGGGCUGACUGUACUAUCCAAAAAUU